CGUGUAGGCGGUCCGCUAAGUCUGAUGUGAAAGCCCGGGGCUCACCCCCGGAAGGGCAUUGGAAACUGGCGGACUCGAGUCCCGGAGAGGAAGGUGGAAUUCCUGGUGUAGCGGUGAAAUGCGUAGAUAUCAGGAGGAAUACCGGUGGCGAAGGCGGCCUUCUGGACGGUGACUGACGCUGAGACGCGAAAGCGUGGGGAGGCAAAC
This 207-nucleotide ribosomal RNA is filed under the name uncultured bacterium. Its description in RNAcentral is "partial 16S ribosomal RNA". It matches the Rfam family "Bacterial small subunit ribosomal RNA", at positions 568 to 774 of the family's 1533-position model. The record is from RNAcentral.